RNAcentral lists this long non-coding RNA (326 nucleotides) under Elaeis guineensis (African oil palm). RNAcentral describes it as "long non-coding RNA (EGUI_LNC056395)". Lineage: Eukaryota; Viridiplantae; Streptophyta; Magnoliopsida; Arecales; Arecaceae. The record is from RNAcentral.
UGACCAAACCUUAAUUGGUAUCAGGACGAGGUUCUUCCCCUAUUUUUGACGUAAUUAAUUUUAGCUUGGGUUAGGAUGAGGUCCUUCCCCCGCUCUUAAUAGGGUUGUGGGGGCUCGUAUGGGCGUUGUAGGGCCCCUCCCCCUAUCCGGUCUCAGAGUAACCGGGCCUUCGACUUUGCUCAUGUUAGGGCGAGGUUCUCCUCCUGUCCCUAACCUGGCUGUGGGGGCGCAUAUGGACACUGUAGGGCCUCUCCCCCCAUUCGGUCUAAAAAUAAUCGGGCCUUCGACCUUGCUCAUGUUAGGGUGAGGUUCUCCUCCUGUCCCUA